AGACCACUGCCGUUUUCUAUUUGAGUGACGGCCAGACUUAGAAAGGAUAAGACACCACGAGACAAAAUCUUCUCAGAGGGGUUUUUCUGCUGCUGGAAAUAGGAAAAGAAACCUUGUUUGCAUGAAGGUGGUGUCAGAUGAUGAAGGAUCAGACUGGAAGAAGAGCCAGGACACCACCCCCAGUCACCUACACUUUGUGACCCUGGGCUUCAAAGGGCUCUGGACUGCCACUAAACAGAAAUGUGGGGUUGUCUGGAGCUCAAGCCCUGCUGUGGCAGCACUGGGAAUGAUGCUUUUUGACCGAAGAAGCGGUGGACACGGCAUCACUCCCUGCCCUCUCAGGGCACAGCUUUGGGGUUUUGUAUGCACUUUACAAAGAGCUUUGCAUAGUCAUUACUCAGCAAAUAACCAAAAGAAACAGGUUUGUAAUUGGUUUGCUCAGACAGUUGUAAAUUAUUAGCAUUUACUCUGCCCUGGUGCGUGUACAACCCGGGAGAAAAAACCCUUCUUGUAAGGGCCUGUCCUGCAACCGCUGCUCAGAGCCUUUGCUCCGCCAAGCUGGGUCACAGAAACCAUCCCAGUUAUUAAUGGGAUUAAGCAGCAGGCACCCUGCCCCUGUAUUUAAUUUUGAAAGUGCUCUUUAGUGCUCCAGUGCCCGGAUCAUGCCAAACCCCCACUCACCUCCCCAUCCCAAGGUGGACAUGCACUGGGCUCCUGCCCACAUCACCAACCACUUCUGCCCUUUCAAGCUGCUGCUCCUGGAGCCUGAACCCAAACUUCCCAGCAGCAAAACCUCCCCCAAAACCUAGGGCAGUGCUCCCAGCAAGGCACAGGGCAAACCAGAAGAUGCCUUUCCAUGCAAAGCACAAAAUAAACCUGCCCUGACCGAUGGGGAGGGGAUGCA
RNAcentral lists this long non-coding RNA (904 nucleotides) under Calidris pugnax (ruff). RNAcentral describes it as "lncRNA (ENSCPUG00000003816.1)". Lineage: Eukaryota; Metazoa; Chordata; Aves; Charadriiformes; Scolopacidae. The record is from RNAcentral.